Molecule: ribosomal RNA, 441 nt
Filed under: uncultured Streptococcus sp.
Lineage: Bacteria; Bacillati; Bacillota; Bacilli; Lactobacillales; Streptococcaceae
Description: bacterial SSU rRNA
Rfam family: Bacterial small subunit ribosomal RNA
Source: RNAcentral
UGUGGUUUAAUUCGAAGCAACGCGUAAGAACCUUACCAGGUCUUGACAUCCGAUGCUAUUUCUAGAGAUAGAAAGUUACUUCGGUACAUCGGUGACAGGUGGUGCAUGGUUGUCGUCAGCUCGUGUCGUGAGAUGUUGGGUUAAGUCCCGCAACGAGCGCAACCCCUAUUGUUAGUUGCCAUCAUUCAGUUGGGCACUCUAGCGAGACUGCCGGUAAUAAACCGGAGGAAGGUGGGGAUGACGUCAAAUCAUCAUGCCCCUUAUGACCUGGGCUACACACGUGCUACAAUGGUUGGUACAACGAGUUGCGAGUCGGUGACGGCGAGCUAAUCUCUUAAAGCCAAUCUCAGUUCGGAUUGUAGGCUGCAACUCGCCUACAUGAAGUCGGAAUCGCUAGUAAUCGCGGAUCAGCACGCCGCGGUGAAUACGUUCCCGGGCCUU